Setaria italica (foxtail millet) is the source of this 1783-nucleotide long non-coding RNA. RefSeq lists it as uncharacterized. Lineage: Eukaryota; Viridiplantae; Streptophyta; Magnoliopsida; Poales; Poaceae. The record is from RefSeq and is a predicted model, not a curated record. The transcript is spliced from 3 exons.
CGCCCACCACACGGGUCGUGCUUCACCGCCGACCGAAUCGCCUCCGGCGCUGUCGUCGUUGCUCAUCUCGCGUCACCUCGCGCCCAGCCCCCUCCUCGCCUCCCACACCGCCGCCUCCUCGCGCCCUGGGUUCCUCUCCUUCUCCAGACCUCGACGUCGCCGCCGGCUGGGAUAGAGAUGGAGUGGCCGCCCGGACGUCGGGUUCCGCUGCCGCCACCGGCCGCCCGGAGCUGGCUCUCCCCAGCCGCCGCCGCGACAGCCCGGAGCUCGGGUUCCCCAGCCGCCGUCGGCCGCCCGGAGCUCGGGCUCUCCCACGCCGCCGCGGCUGCCCGGAGCUCGCGCACGGCCGGAUCCGGCCCCGCUGCCGCGAGCUGGGGGAUCAGGGCCGGGGCCGGGGCACAGGAGCUCGCGGCUCGGGGGAGAGAGAAGACCGUCGCAAGCCGUCGCCCAAGACCCAGCUGCACCCAGUCGUCUCGCUCACCAGUGUGGCCGCGAGGGGAGGGCGCCGGCCAGCGCGUGCUCCGCGUCGACCCGAGGUCAUGCUUCCCAUGCCCGGGGACAUUCGCCGCGCUCUGCCUUGACAUGGCCACGCUCACCACGCCAAAACAUUCGCUUGCCCACCAUUAAGGUCGACGAGGCAUCCUGCCAGCAGGAGGUUGCUGAUGCCCUGCUUCCUGCUCCGUGCUUCCCGCCCGUUGAUCUGGCCAUACUUGCCAUGUCCGAGAAUAUGUUGUUGAUUGCUUCACUCGGUAAUAACAUCCAAGGUUCAAAUCUUAUUUUGCUUUAGGUGAAUGGAUAGCAACAGGGAAUUGUACCAUUAGCUUUACUUUUAUCAGUGUUCAUGCAUACUGCUAUCACUGGAUCAGUAGCUUUAGAUGAAGAAAACAGCUCUCAUUAUCUCAGUUUGUGUUUUCAUGCCCACAACAUGGAUACCUCACCACGCCUGGACGUGUGCAAUGGUAAUCCUUGGAACAGCCAUGUCAAAUAGCAGCCAUACACCCAUAGGAUUCAGCGCAUUUAGUUAUGAGAAGGGCAGGAUGAUUAUUUUCCUUACAACGAUUAGGCAGACAAGCUAAUGUAUUUUUUUAUUCGAACGGUAGGGUCUUAAUCUCUUACCUAAUCACUGUUCGAUUUGCUGCAAGGGUUUGAUUAAGGAUUAAAUCUUUUCAAAUGACGACAAGGCUAAGCAACGAAUGAGUCAGAUAUGAAUAUGUGAUCAUAUCGAUAGCAGCUGUUCAUUUCGACACUAGACCUGCUUGUGUGCCUGUCACAGAGUUCUUUGUGCUUCAAAUCUCUCUUUUUUCCCAACAAGCAGAAGGAUGUACAACAUUAUUCCAGCCAACAUAAUUAUUUGCAAAUUAGUUAAACCUGCAAAUGCAAUGUAAUUAUUCCAAGUAGUUGCCUCGGCAUCGACGGGCAAGGAGGAGCUCGAAUCCUGCGACGGCGUGUUAUUUUCCCGAGCUUCCCCAUGGUGCGCAGCUUUGGCAAGAAACACGGCGACGAGCAUUUCGUCGAGGAACGUGGUGCAUGUUGUGUGAUUUUUUCAUGAGAUUGGGAAGUUGUGUGCUUGGGAAUUAACAUUUUCCCCUGAUUUUCCUCCAUGCCGAGCUUGAGAAAAAUCGCAACGAGAUUGCAAUGUAAUUUUCUUUUGCGUUGAUUUUUUAUUCAGCAUGCGUGAGAUCUGCUCUCUUCAACUACGAUCUGAAAUUUUCAUUUUAAUGUUUGUAUGUUCAUGUUUGCUAAUGUCUUAUACAAAUACAAUGAAGUAUCUCUAUAAUUUUCA